AGUGAACGCUGGCGGUAGGCCUAACACAUGCAAGUCGAACGGCAGCACAGUAAGAGCUUGCUCUUACGGGUGGCGAGUGGCGGACGGAUGAGGAAUACAUCGGAAUCUACUUUUUCGUGGGGGAUAACGUAGGGAAACUUACGCUAAUACCGCAUACGACCUACGGGUGAAAGCAGGGGAUCUUCGGACCUUGCGCGAUUGAAUGAGCCGAUGUCGGAUUAGCUAGUUGGGGGGGUAAAGGCCCACCAAGGCGACGAUCCGUAGCUGGUCUGAGAGGAUGACCAGCCACACUGGAACUGAGACACGGUCCAGACUCCUACGGGAGGCAGCAGUGGGGAAUAUUGGACAAUGGGCGCAAGCCUGAUCCAGCCAUACCGCGUGGGUGAAGAAGGCCUUCGGGUUGUAAAGCCCUUUUGUUGGGAAAGAAAAGCAGCAGGUUAAUACCCCGCUGUUCUGACGGUACCCAAAGAAUAAGCACCGGCUAACUUCGUG
RNAcentral lists this ribosomal RNA (492 nucleotides) under uncultured bacterium. RNAcentral's name for it is "partial 16S ribosomal RNA". It matches the Rfam family "Bacterial small subunit ribosomal RNA", at positions 29 to 507 of the family's 1533-position model. The record is from RNAcentral.